This 497-nucleotide ribosomal RNA is filed under the name uncultured bacterium. Its description in RNAcentral is "partial 16S ribosomal RNA". It matches the Rfam family "Bacterial small subunit ribosomal RNA", at positions 28 to 507 of the family's 1533-position model. The record is from RNAcentral.
GAUGAACGCUGGCGGCGUGCCUAAUACAUGCAAGUCGAGCGAACGGACGAGAAGCUUGCUUCUCUGAUGUUAGCGGCGGACGGGCGAGUAACACGUGGAUAACCUACCUAUAAGACUUGGAUAACUUCGGGAAACCGUAGCUAAUACCGGAUAAUAUUUUGAACCGCAUGGUUCAAAAGUGAAAGACGGUCUUGCUGUCACUUAUAGAUGGAUUCGCGCUGCAUUAGCUAGUUGGUAAGGUAACGGCUUACCAAGGCAACGAUGCAUAGCCGACCUGAGAGGGUGAUCGGCCACACUGGAACUGAGACACGGUCCAGACUCCUACGGGAGGCAGCAGUAGGGAAUCUUCCGCAAUGGGCGAAAGCCUGACGGAGCAACGCCGCGUGAGUGAUGAAGGUCUUCGGAUCGUAAAACUCUGUUAUUAGGGAAGAACAUAUGUGUAAGUAACUGUGCACAUCUUGACGGUACCUAAUCAGAAAGCCACGGCUAACUACGUG